UACGUAGGGUGCAAGCGUUAAUCGGAAUUACUGGGCGUAAAGCGUGCGCAGGCGGUUUUGCAAGACAGAUGUGAAAUCCCCGGGCUUAACCUGGGAACCGCAUUUGUGACUGCAUAGCUGGAGUACGGCAGAGGGGGAUGGAAUUCCGCGUGUAGCAGUGAAAUGCGUAGAUAUGCGGAGGAGCACCGAUGGCGAAGGCAGUCCCCUGGGCCUGUACUGACGCUCAUGCACGAAAGCGUGGGGAGCAAACAGG
RNAcentral lists this ribosomal RNA (253 nucleotides) under uncultured bacterium. RNAcentral describes it as "partial 16S ribosomal RNA". It matches the Rfam family "Bacterial small subunit ribosomal RNA", at positions 524 to 776 of the family's 1533-position model. The record is from RNAcentral.